CAGUUUUCACUUUUAGUCUUGCGUAAUUGUCUUGAGAAAUCCGCGUUCUCCAAGCUAUUAAAAACCAGUAAAACGGGACAGUCGUUUCGCCUUCUGAGCACGGGGGACAGAUAGAAGAGAAGCUGAAAGGUAGGAUAAUCAAUGAUAGGGUAAAGGCUUACUCUAGUCGGCAGAGGUCAAGAUUCGUCUGUUCUGUCAAGAUGCUCCGGAAGAUGAUCACAGCGAGAUAAACAAAGGAAAGUGGGCAAACUGCAUGCGUAAAAUUUGAUAACCGGCAGUCAAGGAGACAUUUGGAUCAGACUUUUCGUACCAAUAGUUAAAGUACAAUCUCUUGGACGCAGAAAAUUUCCAUCGUCAUUCGGAGGAAUUGUUGGCUCAUCUGCUGCCGAAACAGACGGCCAGAACUUCCUUUAUAGAGGAAUGCCCUCAACAAACUUAAAGACAAGCUUGGAAAAUGCCGCUUUCUUUCUACGCCGGUCGAAGAUCGGCGCUGCUAAACAAACUAGGGAACAACAAUUUGCAAAGCUACCCAGCUCGAGAUUCGACGAGUUAACAGAACUUUACAAUGAACACACGCCACGACACAACAACAGAGCCAAACUAGACAAGGUGGCUCAUUUACUGGUACAAAUUCUGCAGGUACAAGAAGUGCAAACGAUCAAGGAAUACACCAUGAAUGGGUACCGUUUCAAGGUACACGUGCUUGAAGACACAGAGUUAUAGCAAGCAUGGUUAGACAGUUGUCAUCACUGUGCAACAUGCGGACUGAACUUCUUGGUUGUAAUUAGUUUCUUUAGAAGGCAAAGGCGCUUCAUAAUCAAGGAAAUCAGAACGAUUUAUUGUUGCUAUUAGCAAAGAUAAGGGGCUGUGAAACUGACUGAACUGAUCGAUGGCCAACUUGUGUAUUUCAAUAAAGCUCCUAGCUUGGGGCUAUUGAUUCCCGAAGCUGCAUUGAUUUCAAUCGGGACAUCAAACUGUGAUGGACCUUUAUUCUGUAAAUGGUUAAAUUAGAUGAACCCGCAAGAUCAUGUUAGCCAUGAUGAUAGAUAAGAGUCAACGGUUUUACAGCCUUAAAAUCUUCCGCUCCUAAGAUGUAAAUAUGUAAAAGACAUUUGGUAGUUUAUUGAACCUUUGAUGUUCUGAAAACACAGGCUUGUUUCUAAACAAAACAUUGAGCCUUGCUCCAGAGUAAAAGAAAACAAAUGCUCAAGUACAUUUUGUUCUAGUAUGUUAAUGCGUUAGAUAAUUGUACCUAAUUCUUUUUCAAUCGGUUGACCAAAAGAAACAAGUCACUGUCGCUUUGGGUACUCACGAGUUGGUCUGCUGUGUUGGAAUUCACGCCCAUAUCUCAUGACGCAUGAUAAAGGUACAUGUACACACGUACACACCAAGGGUCAAGUAUUGUUGUUUUUUUUUUAAAAAUGUAAUUUCAAUUUUCCCAUAGCUUUUCUUUGAGCGAGGAUGGUUCGUAAAUCCAGUUAAAUGUUCCCUAUAGUUUUCACUACCGGUUCUCUUAUGACUCAUUUAUAACUUAGCUAAUGGUCUGUUUUCUACUUAACAUGGUUAACCACACAAAGAGCCAGAAGAUGCAUUGCUUCUCAGUUUCAUUCUUUAAUUGAAAAAAACAUUUUAAAAAAAAUGUCUUGUUAUGGUAGCGUGACAAAACUGUUUUGCAUGCACGAGGUUCUGACCUGUUGACAUAGUUUGCUAGGCCUAGAGAUAAUCUUUUAACCGAAACAUGUUUUAUGCUGAAUCCUCGAUAUGGAUGGGUUUUAGACUGAGCUAACGUAAAACUACUUCAGAAUCGCGUCAAAUCUAAGAACAAGAAUUAGAACACAGAUUUGCAAAAAGCAUCGUCCUUUCACUACGAAUCAUAUUUGAGUAUGCUACCGGUGAAAUGCGAAUGUCAUUUCAUGGGCUGAAGGACACCUUGUAACCAUUCUAUCCAUUGCAAAAAGCAAAUUUUUAAAUCAUGACAGCUUGAACGUCAACUAUCCGUCAAGAGAGGACUCUCCUCUUGGUAACACGAGAUUUCUUGAAUCAAAUCACGUUACUAAACGAUGGGAUCGCAGUAUUUGCUCUUGUAGAAUAAAUUAUUCAUAUUAGUCUUAGUGUCUCUUAAGUACACUUGCAGACAGUUGCCUUUCAAUAUUUCGUAGGAAAGUUGAUAAACACUUUUUUUAGUAUAACUAAAUUGCGAUCAAAACAAGUGAAACUUUCUGUUUCUAGUUGGAUUCAGUGAUUAAGUAAAUACGAAAGAUUAACUUAGUAUAACGCAGAAUCACAGAAUACAGCAUUUGAAGCCGGAA
Molecule: long non-coding RNA, 2309 nt
Filed under: Orbicella faveolata
Lineage: Eukaryota; Metazoa; Cnidaria; Anthozoa; Scleractinia; Merulinidae
Description: uncharacterized LOC110051389
Source: RNAcentral